Molecule: long non-coding RNA, 1384 nt
Organism: Zingiber officinale
Lineage: Eukaryota; Viridiplantae; Streptophyta; Magnoliopsida; Zingiberales; Zingiberaceae
Exons: 2
Source: RefSeq, a predicted model, not a curated record
GUUAAUUACCCAAAGUUCGCGUGAUAUAAUAUCUGCCCGAGUCUUUUCUUCCCUUGUCCUAAAAUCGCUGACACUUCACCACUCCCGCCGAUCUCAAUGGAGCACACCACACCGGCGAUCCCAAGGGGGGGGGGGGGGCAUUGAGAUCGAACGGCAAGACCUCCAACGACCUUACCGGUCGUGCUAACACCGCGCGAGGGUUUCUUGAGGCGGCACGAGGAGGGGGGAAAGCGAGGGAAAGGCAAGUACUUCCCCUAUGUUGUUAUGAGAUACAUGAGGUGAGGGCGUCUACCAAGAUAUGAUGGAACACAUGUGAACGGAGUAGACGAGGAGGCGAGAUGAACGCAUGGCACUAUCCGGAUGUCUUAGGAGUGCAGAGCAUACCUGUUUCCUGGUGACAGCUUCUUCAUUUGUAUAGGGAGAUGUUUGGGGAUUCAUUGAUCCUUUCCGUUAAUCUCUUAUUUGAGAUGCUGUCAUUUACAUUAGAUAAGAUGGAUCGUUUCAAUGGAAUUGUUACUACAAUUAUCUACAUAGCAGAUGUCGAGAGGGUUAUUAAAAAAAACUUGUGGGAUAAUCUAGGGAUGUUUCACAAACAAUUCUGUAUGAUAAGUAAGGUAAGUCACUGGAGGAGAGUGUUCCAGUGAGGACGAGUCAUAUUUGGGGUUCUUUAGGCGCAGGUCCAAUUUAUGUCCAUUUUGGAAACCUAAAUUGAAACCGUGAUUAGAUCCUAGUCUCAGGAAAACAAAAUCUAAUUAAUACUGUUAUUUUAUUAUGGUGCUAACUUCGUCUUGUAGGGUAUACUUUGUUUUGUUCAACUAACACAUUUUGCAAGGUGAAAGGAGUACAAAAUACCUUGGGUGAACAGUAUUCGAGGUGUCUUCCAUGCGAAAGAAGCGCCUUUAGUUGGGCGAUGGAAGGUGCUUUGAAGAGUUUUGAAGGCGCCUUGGGUCGAAUAAGGCAGAAGGCUUCGUCGACGAUAAGAGACAAAUUUUUAGGGAUAAAACCUUGGGGUUGAAGACGUCUUCCAUUGGCUUGAAGGCGUCUUCAAUGCUCAAUAAAAGGGCUACUCGACCAAGGCUUCAAACACACUUCUUCUACGAGCUUCUACGCAAUCAUGCAACGUUUCGACUACUCCAACUUCGUGCUGUUAUUCUCUACAACCCUGCUAUGUUUGACUAUUACAGAUAGACUGCCACCAACACACGAACGCUCUCACUUUGAUAUCUUUGUGUUGGUAACUUGUUUUACAGUUAUACUUAUUAUACAUAUCAACAAAAGGAAUGUGUAUGAUUGUUACACUUUCCUAUCUUAUUUCUUUAUAUUUGAUCACUCUUCCGACGGUUCCGGAAGAGGAGUUAGUGGAUUAUCCAUUGAUAGGUUUAAA